RNAcentral lists this ribosomal RNA (469 nucleotides) under uncultured bacterium. RNAcentral describes it as "partial 16S ribosomal RNA". It matches the Rfam family "Bacterial small subunit ribosomal RNA", at positions 28 to 507 of the family's 1533-position model. The record is from RNAcentral.
GACGAACGCUGGCGGCGUGCUUAACACAUGCAAGUCGAACGGAAAGGCCCUGCUUGCAGGGUGCUCGAGUGGCGAACGGGUGAGUAACACGUGGGUGAUCUGCCCCUUACUUUGGGAUAAGCCUGGGAAACUGGGUCUAAUACUGGAUAGGACCAUGCUGUAGGUGGUGUGGUGGAAAGAUUAGUUUCGGUAAGGGAUGAGCUCGCGGCCUAUCAGCUUGUUGGUGGGGUAAUGGCCUACCAAGGCGUCGACGGGUAGCCGGCCUGAGAGGGUGGACGGCCACAUUGGGACUGAGAUACGGCCCAGACUCCUACGGGAGGCAGCAGUGGGGAAUAUUGCACAAUGGGCGCAAGCCUGAUGCAGUGACGCCGCGUGGGGGAUGACGGCCUUCGGGUUGUAAACUCCUUUCAGCCAUGACGAAGCCCUUGUGGUGACGGUAGUGGUAGAAGAAGCACCGGCUAACUACGUG